This 438-nucleotide ribosomal RNA is filed under the name uncultured bacterium. Its description in RNAcentral is "partial 16S ribosomal RNA". It matches the Rfam family "Bacterial small subunit ribosomal RNA", at positions 339 to 795 of the family's 1533-position model. The record is from RNAcentral.
CUACGGGCGGCUCCAGUGAGGAAUAUUGCACAAUGGGGGGAACCCUGAUGCAGCAACGCCGCGUGGAGGAUGACGCAUUUCGGUGUGUAAACUCCUUUAUAUGUCAAGAAAAUGACGGUAGCAUAUGAAUAAGCACCGGCUAACUCCGUGCCAGCAGCCGCGGUAAUACGGAGGGUGCAAGCGUUACUCGGAAUCACUGGGCGUAAAGGACGCGUAGGCGGGUUGGAAAGUCAGGUGUGAAAUCCUACAGCUUAACUGUAGAACUGCACUUGAAACUUCUAAUCUAGAGUAUGGGAGGGGGAGAUGGAAUUUGUGGUGUAGGGGUAAAAUCCGUAGAUAUCACUAGGAAUACCUAAAGCGAAGGCGAUCUCCUGGAACAUUACUGACGCUAAGGCGUGAAAGCGUGGGGAGCAAACAGGAUUAGAUACCCGAGUAGUC